This is a long non-coding RNA of Oncorhynchus masou masou (cherry salmon), 4253 nucleotides long. RefSeq lists it as uncharacterized. The transcript is spliced from 4 exons. The record is from RefSeq and is a predicted model, not a curated record. NCBI's taxonomy places the organism in Eukaryota, Metazoa, Chordata, Actinopteri, Salmoniformes, Salmonidae.
CUGUGUAACACAGUAUCUGUCAUAUACUGUAUCUACUUCCUUUGUGAUUCUAUUUGCUCAAACAUCACUUCCUUAGAAUGCAUAUAAACCUCUCUUCUUCCUCUGCACUUCUUUGAGUGCUGUCGUCAAGACUUUUACCCUGAACCUUGACUUCCCAGGUUGAUAGUUCUGUCUUAUGUUCCGUCUGUAGUCGAUGUGGAUGGUGCAAGAUGCUGGAUGGAAGUUGUCAAUGAGCAGUUUAAGACGGAGAACCUCAGCACUAUUUUCAAAUCUGUGGAGAAACGAGAAAGGGUUCUUGGAAACACAGCAUUGAAUGAGACGACUUCAAUCAUUGUUGAGAGGCUUGUGGCCCACACAUUCAGGGCCGAGGGCAAGUUUACUGGGCUUAAUUUAUCUGCCACUCGAGAAGGGGCAAGAUGACAGUGACCCACAAUGAAAUGCUUGAGGAAGUUUAGUCAGUUUUUUGAAAACCACGUGCAGUUUGGCAUUUAUUGGGAAUGGGAUGAAUGUUGUCCUGGAGGCAGUUCUGCAGAGUGGUCACAAGCUGCCUUUACCACACAAAGUUAUAAAAUCUGACUUUAAGCCUCCCUAAUACUAACCCGAACCUUAACCACACUGCUAACCGUAUGCCUAACCUUAACCUUAAAUUUGUUUUUAUAAAACAUUUUACGAUAUAGCCAAUUUGACUUUGCGGCUGGCCCAUCUAGCGGAAAGCGCUCAGCUCGGCCUCAGUGACAAGAUUAAUCUCAAUAAACUUCAAACCUGCGAACUGUGUCACAUGCAAAUACAGUUGAAGUCGUAAGUUUACAUACACUUAGGUUGGAGUCAUUAAAACUAGUUUUUCAACCACUCCACAAAUGUCUUGUUAUCAAACUAUAGUUUUGGCAAGUUGGUUAGGAUAUCUACUUUGUGCAUGACACAAGUCAUUUUUCCAACAAUUCUUUACAGAUUAUUUCACUUAUAAUUCACUGUAUCACAAUUCCAGUGGGUCAGAAGUUUAUAUACACUAAGUUGACUGUGCCUUUAAACAGCUUGGAAAAUUCCAGAAAAUGAUGUCAUGGCUUUAGAAGCUUCUGUUGGGCUAAUUGACAUCAUUUAAGUCAAAUGGAGGUGUACCUGUGGAUGUAUUUCAAGGCGUACCUUUCAAACUCAGUGUCUCUUUGCUUGACAUCAUGGGAAAAUUAAAAGAAAUCAGCCAAGACCUCAGAAAAACAAUUGUAGACCUUCACAAGUCUGGUUCAUCCUUGGGAGCAAUUUCCAAGCGCCUGAAGGCACAACGUUCAUCUGUACAAGCAAUAGUACGCAAGUAUAAACACCAUGGGACCACACAGCCGUCAUACCACUCAGGAAGGAGAUGACGUUCUGUCUCCUAGAGAUGAACGUACUGUGGUGCAAAAAGUGCAAAUCAAUCCCAGAACAACAGCAAAGGACCUUGUGAAGAUGCUGGAGGAAACAGGUACAAAAGUAUAUCCACACUAAAAGUCCUAUAUCGAUAUAACCUGAAAGGCCGCUCAGCAAGGAAGAAGCCACUGAUCCAAAAAAGCCAGACUACGGGUUGUAACUGCGCAUGGGGACAAAGAUCGUACUUUUUGGAGAAAUGUCCUCUGGUCUGAUGAAACCAAAAUAUAACUGUUUGGGCAUAACGACCAUCGUUAUGUUUGGAGGAAAAACGGGGAGGUUUGCAAGCCGAAGAACACCAUCCCAACCGUGAAGCACGGAGGUGGCAGCAUCAUGUUGUGGGGGUGCUUUGUUGCAGGAGGGACUGGUGCACUUCACAAAAUAGAUGCCAUCAUGAGGAGGGAAAAUGAUGUGGCUAUAUUGAGGCACCAUCUCAAAACAUCAGUCAGGAAGUUAAAGCUUAUGUCACGUUCUGGCCUUAGUUCUUUGUGAUGUCUUUGUUUUAGUAUGGUCAGGGCGUGAGUUGGGUGGGCAGUCUAUGUUCUUUUUUCUAUGAUUUGGUAUUUCUGUGUUUGGCCUGGUAUGGUUCUCAAUCAGAGGCAGCUGUCAAUCAUUGUCCCUGAUUGAGAACCAUACUUAGGCAGCCUGUUUUCACCCUUGAGUGGUGGAUGAUUAUACUUUCUGUUUAGUGUGUGUUGCACCUGACAGAGCUGUUUCGGUUGUGCUUUUUGUUUCUUUGUUAGAUGUUGUUCAGUUUUAAAUAAAUAACAUGAACAAGUACCACGCUGCGCGUUGGUCCUCACCUUCUUCCACCGACGACCGUUACAGCUUGGCCCAAAAUUCACCCAACCUAUUGUGGGAAGCCGGUGGAAGGCUACCCAAAACGUUUGACCCAAGUUAAACAAUUUAAAGGCAAUGCUACCAAAUACUAAUUGAGUGUAUGUAAACUUCUGACCCACUGGCAAUGUGAAAUAAUAUCUGAAAUAAAUCAUUCUCUCUACUCUUAUUCAGACAUUUCACAUUCUUAAAAUAAAGUGGUGAUCCUGUCUCUGUUCUUCCUGGUGGUCACAAUCUUUCUGUGCGCCACUCAAAGGUAUGUCACACUCUGGGCGUCAUGGUCAGCUCACAGGAACCCCUGGUUUGUCAUAAGUUUGACGUCAUCAGAAAGUGACACCAAGAUGUACAUGAACUGGAGGGAGCAGAUUAAAUAAAAAAUUUAAAGCAACAGACCUUGUUUUCACCAUACUCUCUCUCUAUUCCUUUGUUCAGAGGUAUAUGCACAGACAUCUCCCUGAAGGUGCAUAUCAACCUGUCUGUGGCCCUGAUCCUCCUCAACCUACACUUCCUGCCCAGCCAGCAGAGUCGUGGCUGAACGUCGACAUGAAUAACAUACAGCUGGCAGGUUUUAGCUUCUUCAGCAGGAUAGAACAGCAGCCUCUGGUAAGACAAUGGGUAGCGGUCUAUGUAUUUUUGAGCUGUAUACGGCCAUAAGCAAACAGGAAAACGCUCAUCCAGAGGCGGCGCUCCUAGUGGCCGGGGACUUUAAUGCAGGGAAACUCAAAUACCUAAUUUGGAAAUGGUCAGAUGAAGCAGGUGAUGUGGUGUACAGGACUGUUUUGGUAGCACAGAUUGGAAUAUGUUCCGGGAUUCUUCUGAUGGCAUUGAGGAGUACACCACAUCAGUGAGCUAAAGGGUAGAGCUGCUGCUUUCAAGGAGCGGGACACUAACCCGGAAGCUUAUAAGAAAUCACGCUAUGCCCCUGGAGUGCCAAGUCCAGGUCCAAAAGACUUCUUAACAGCUUUUAUCCCCAAGCCUUAAAACUCCUGAACAGCUAAUCAAAGGGCUACCCAGACCCCUCUUUUACGCUGCUGCUACUCUCUGUUUAUAAUCUAUGCAUGGUCACUUUAAUUCUACCUACAUGUACAGAAACAGACAGAAGCAAUGGGGAAAACGCUGGUAGGCUUGACAAACAAAACAAACUGGCAACAGACAGAGAACUAAGGUAGUAGGGAUAAUGGGGAAGAUGGGCGACACCUGGAGGGGGGUGGAGACAAACACAAAGACAGGUGAAACAGAUCAGAUCAUAUUACCUCAUUACCAACAUUGUUGGUUAAGGGCUUGUAAGUAAGCAUUUCACUGUAAGGACUACAACUGUUGUAUUCGACACAUGUGACAAAUACAAUUUGAUUUGAUACAAACAACCAAAUAGUACAAACCAUCAAAAAAGGUUCAUACCCUGCUGUUCCAUGAACCACUUUUUCACGUUUUGUGUGAACUCACCAACACUUGCAACACAUUUUAAACCUUCUGGAAGUUGUUUGUAAUGCUUUUACAGCUUUUACAGAAAAUUACAACUUUGAAAAAGUAUUGACAUUUGGAAUAUCUUGUGUGGAUUGUGAGAGGUCGACUGAAUACUGUAAUGAAGUUCUGUUUCGAAGAGUAAAAUGUGUCAACUUCUUUUGUACAUUUUAUUCAUCUUCCUCUGGUUUUGUGUGUUCAAAUGGAAGACUGAGGACAGCCAACCUGGCAGUGACACUCACUGUACCAAUACCUGAUCUGCCUGAGAACAAAAGUAUGUUGUCAACCAAUCCAGCAUUGUUGUUAUCAAUGUUAAUUUCAAACUUUAUUGAGAUUUUGUUAUUUUGAGAAUACUUGCCCUAAACUGUGGACCUUCGAAAGUGUCUACAAACCACCCACUUGUUUUGUACCAAUACAAUAGCAUGUCAUUGUUUAGUUACGGAAUGAAGGAAGAUGUUAUCACAACUGUUUUUGUGUGUGGUUUGUUCAAUUAUAAAUCAUGUGAUCCAACAGGAUCUGAUAUAAUGCUGUGAGAUCCUAUCCCUCACUAGUUGAUA